CAGUCGCCGCGGGAAUACAGAGGGUGCGAGCGUUAAUCGGAAUUACUGGGCGUAAAGCGCGCGUAGACGGUUUUGUAAGUCAGAUGUGAAAUCCCUGGGCUCAACCUGGGAACUGCAUUUGAUACUGCAUGGCUAGAGUAUCGAAGAGGGAAGUGGAAUUUCCGGUGUAGCGGUGAAAUGCGUAGAUAUCGGAAGGAACACCAGUGGCGAAAGCGACUUCCUGGUCGAAUACUGACGUUCAUGUGCGAAAGCGUGGGGAGCAAACAGGAUUAGAUACCCCGGUAGUCCCUGUCUCUUAUAC
Molecule: ribosomal RNA, 301 nt
Filed under: uncultured bacterium
Lineage: Bacteria
Description: partial 16S ribosomal RNA
Rfam family: Bacterial small subunit ribosomal RNA
Source: RNAcentral